Molecule: ribosomal RNA, 429 nt
Filed under: Fusobacteriota bacterium
Lineage: Bacteria; Fusobacteriati; Fusobacteriota
Description: Fusobacteria bacterium partial 16S ribosomal RNA
Rfam family: Bacterial small subunit ribosomal RNA
Source: RNAcentral
UGGGGAAUAUUGCGCAAUGGGCGAAAGCCUGACGCAGCGACGCCGCGUGAGGGAUGAAGGUUUUCGGAUCGUAAACCUCUGUCAGAAGGGAAGAAACCGCACUGUGCUAAUCAGCAGUGCCUUGACGGUACCUUCAAAGGAAGCACCGGCUAACUCCGUGCCAGCAGCCGCGGUAAUACGGAGGGUGCAAGCGUUAAUCGGAAUUACUGGGCGUAAAGCGCACGUAGGCUGCUUUGUAAGUCAGGGGUGAAAUCCCACGGCUCAACCGUGGAACUGCCUUUGAUACUGCUUAGCUUGAAUCCGGGAGAGGGUGGCGGAAUUCCAGGUUUAGGAGUGAAAUCCGUAGAUAUCUGGAGGAACAUCAGUGGCGAAGGCGGCCACCUGGACCGGUAUUGACGCUGAGGUGCGAAAGCGUGGGGAGCAAACAGG